This 216-nucleotide non-coding RNA is filed under the name Paenibacillus sp. RNAcentral's name for it is "T-box sequence". It matches the Rfam family "T-box leader". Rfam says of the family: Uncharged tRNA acts as the effector for transcription antitermination of genes in the T-box leader family. T-boxes are found upstream of many aminoacyl-tRNA synthetase genes and some amino acid biosynthetic genes usually in Gram-positive bacteria. Lineage: Bacteria; Bacillati; Bacillota; Bacilli; Caryophanales; Paenibacillaceae. The record is from RNAcentral.
CAUAUGGCGUUGAUAAGGAACAGUAGUAUCGCGGGGCAUGGCUUAGAGAGCCGGCGGAUGGUGCAAGCCGGACCUGCAGCGAUAUGAAUCUCACCUUGGAGCUGUGCGCGCAAGCGUACCGUAAGGCCUGCGUUAAAGGCAACAAGUGAGCACUCGGCAAAGCAUGUCCGGGGGCUAACUAGGGUGGUACCACGGGAGACAGCUCUCGUCCCUAGC